UCCGCGGCGAGAGCGGGUCGCCGC
RNAcentral lists this small nuclear RNA (24 nucleotides) under Arabidopsis thaliana (thale cress). RNAcentral's name for it is "snRNA_02314". Lineage: Eukaryota; Viridiplantae; Streptophyta; Magnoliopsida; Brassicales; Brassicaceae. The record is from RNAcentral.